GAGCAGCUGGGGCCCGGUAUCGCGGACUGGCUCCUGGGUUUGCAGGAGCCGAGGACGCCCUUUCUCGCCAGCCGCUCGAGGGCCCUAAGGGACACGUGGGAGGAGUGAUGCUGGAAUUCCGAGACGCAUUUAGAAAAGCAUCCCGUUGUCUCACCCCAUAGACUGGCUUCUUGGAAGAGGCACGUUCGGUGUAACUCAACCAAGGUGAGGAGGUUGAGGCUCAGCGAGGUGAAGUGACUUGGCCAAGGUUUCGUGGCUUGAAAUAGAGCUGUGAUCGGAGUCAAGGUUGUUCCCUGGCUGUUUACGGUCUCCAGCACUCCAUUAAAUGGAUGUACCACAAUUUGCUCAUCCAUUCACCUCUGGAGGGACUUCUUGGUUGCUUCCAGUUUUUGGCAAUUCACUCGCUCGCACUGGAGGAAGCCAGCUGCCAUGCCGUGAGGAUACUCAAGCCGUCGUGUGGGGACUGAGGCCCCCCGCCAACAGCCAGGGCAGCAUGCCACUUUGGAAGCAGAGUUUCUGGCACUGGUUGAGCCUUCGGCAGCUGCAGUUCGAGAGCCCAUGCCACAUGAACGCGAUGGAGGGUCCAGGAAGCACAAGUAGCCCCCAAAGGCCACAGCUGUCACCUGGCAGAUGGAGCACAAGUUUGGAGUAGGACAGACCUGGGUUCUGGUCUCGGCUUUGCUCUUUCCCUGCUGUGUGACCCUGGCCUCGUGUUCAGAGGGGCACUCAGCUUGCAGAGUGUCUAUGCCGUGGACGUGGGCCCGGGGUGCAAAGCACAGCCACAGCCUGUCGGUGGUGGUUCACCAGGUCACACCACUGGAUGAUAUUCAGCGACAGCUUCCGUGAGCCCGGUAUCCGGGUGGCAUCAGGCUCUGCGGGGAUCGUGCCGUCAGCGUCAUCCUGGAAGGAUCUUGAGAGCCCCGGACAGUGCCUGGCACAGAGUCAGUAAUAACUGAACACCUACCCUGUUUCAGAUGAGGAAACUGGAGCUCAGAGGGGAGAAGUGAUCCAUCCAGGGUCACGCAGACAGGGCGCAGACCCACACGCCCCAGCUCACGACUCCCGGCCGUGCUGCCCUUAUUGCUCACUGCUUCUGGACACUUCCCGGGCUGUCCACCCAUUGCACGGUGAGCGUGAUGGGCAGGCAGCCCGAGCGCCCCGAGACUGCCUCCCCCCCGCUUUCCCUUGGCAUCUCCAGUCAAUGUGGCACUCACGGUCCCUCGGGCAUGGACCCCCUCCUGCCAUCCCCACUUAAAGUGAUACUUUAAUAAA
Canis lupus familiaris (dog) is the source of this 1272-nucleotide long non-coding RNA. RefSeq lists it as uncharacterized. The record is from RefSeq and is a predicted model, not a curated record. The transcript has 8 exons. NCBI's taxonomy places the organism in Eukaryota, Metazoa, Chordata, Mammalia, Carnivora, Canidae.